AUGUACCGCUCGUACACUCCAGGCCUGAGCACGCCGUCCGCACCACCUGACGACCGCUGGCCACGUUUUCUUAGCC
RNAcentral lists this small RNA (76 nucleotides) under Xanthomonas arboricola. RNAcentral's name for it is "sX9 sRNA". It matches the Rfam family "Xanthomonas sRNA sX9". RNAcentral also lists the same sequence under 1 other name. The record is from RNAcentral. Lineage: Bacteria; Pseudomonadati; Pseudomonadota; Gammaproteobacteria; Lysobacterales; Lysobacteraceae.